GGCGUGCCUAACACAUGCAAGUCGCACGGGAAGCUUUGGAUUCGUCUGAAGGGGAGAGUGGCGAGCGGGUGAGUAACACGUUGGUGACCUGCCUCAAAGACGGGGAUAACCGUCGGAAACGACGGCUAAUACCCGAUGGUCUCGGUCAUUCGGUUGAUCGAGUAAAAGUGUUCUUCGGAACGCGCUUUGAGAGGGGCCUGCGGCCCAUCAGCUAGUUGGUAGGGUAAAGGCCUACCAAGGCAAAGACGGGUAGGGGACGUGAGAGCGUGGCCCCCCACACUGGCACUGAGACACGGGCCAGACUCCUACGGGAGGCAGCAGUGAGGAAUAUUGCCCAAUGGACGCAAGUCUGAGGCAGCAACGCCGCAUGGAUGAUGAAGGCCUUCGGGUCGUAAAAUCCUUUUCUGGGGGAAGAGGAAGGACGGUACCUCAGGAAUAAGUCUCGGCUAACUAUGUGCCAGCAGCCGCGGUAAGACAUAGGAGGCAAGCGUUAUCCGGAUUUACUGGGCGUAAAGGGCGUUGAGGCGGUCUUGUAAGUUGGACGUGAAAGCUCCUGGCUCAACUAGGAGAGGCCGUUCAAUACUGCGAGACUUGAGGACAGCAGAGGGGGGUGGAAUUCCCGGUGUAGUGGUGAAAUGCGUAGAGAUCGGGAGGAACACCAGUGGCGAAGGCGGCCCCCUGGGCUGCUCCUGACGCUGAAUGCGAAAGCUAGGGUAGCAAACGGGAUUAGAUACCCCGGUAGUCCUGGCCAUAAACGAUGUCCACUAGAUCGGUGAACUUCUGACAGUGCGCCGGUCGAAACAAAAGCGUUAAGUGGACCGCCUGGGGAGUACGGUCGCAAGGCUAAAACUCAAAGGAAUUGACGGGGGCUCACACAAGCGGUGGAGCAUGUUGCUUAAUUCGAUGCAACGCGAAGAACCUUAUCCUGGGCUUGACAUGGUAGGAUGCCUCCCUGGAAACAGGGUUGGUUGCCCUUCGGGGUGAAACUAUCACAGGUGCUGCAUGGCUGUCGUCAGCUCGUGUCGUGAGAUGUUGGGUUAAGUCCCGUAACGAGCGAAACCCUUGUCGUUAGUUGCCAGCGCGUAAUGGCGGGGACUCUAGCGAGACUGCCGGUGUUAAACCGGAGGAAGGUGGGGAUGACGUCAAGUCCUCAUGGCCUUUAUGUCCAGGGCUGCAAACGUGCUACAAUGGCGUGUACAAACCGACGCAAGACCGCGAGGUGGAGCAAAUCGGAAAAAGCACGCCCCAGUUCGGAUUGGAGUCUGCAACUCGACUCCAUGAAGUCGGAAUCGCUAGUAAUCGCGUAUCAGCUCGACGCGGUGAAUGUGUUCCUGAGCAUUGUACACACCGCCCGUCAAGUCAUGGAAGCCGGGAGCGCCCGAAGUCGG
Molecule: ribosomal RNA, 1388 nt
Filed under: uncultured organism
Description: partial 16S ribosomal RNA
Rfam family: Bacterial small subunit ribosomal RNA
Source: RNAcentral